RNAcentral lists this signal recognition particle RNA (100 nucleotides) under Clostridiales bacterium. Its description in RNAcentral is "signal recognition particle sRNA small type". It matches the Rfam family "Bacterial small signal recognition particle RNA". Rfam says of the family: The signal recognition particle (SRP) is a universally conserved ribonucleoprotein involved in the co-translational targeting of proteins to membranes. Lineage: Bacteria; Bacillati; Bacillota; Clostridia; Eubacteriales. The record is from RNAcentral.
UGUUGGGUCCUGUGCGAUUUCAUGGUGUGAACCCUGUCAGGUCCGGAAGGAAGCAGCAGUAAGCGCUGAAUGAGAUGUGCUGCGGGAGUGCCUGGCAUGG